UGAUAAAAUGGCUGAUUAAAAGCGAGGAACUGUAAAUUCUUUUAUAAACUUUGUUUUUUUUAUU
This 64-nucleotide transfer RNA is filed under the name Pariaconus pele. Its description in RNAcentral is "tRNA-Tyr". Lineage: Eukaryota; Metazoa; Arthropoda; Insecta; Hemiptera; Triozidae. The record is from RNAcentral.